CAAUGAUGAAUUGCAAAACGUUAUUAAUGAAGGGAAAAGGUUCAAGCCAAUAUUCACACUGCAGUCAAUGAAAGAGUAAGGGGGCUUCUGAGGAAGGGUUGAAGAUGACAUGGGAGAGUAGCAGGAACAACCCCCUUCGCUGACUGUUUGCUCCUGAGGCUUUUCCAGUUUUAUGUCACUCAUGUCUUCUCUGCUUCCGUCCUGUGUGCUUUCCAUUCCCGGCAAAGCUGCUGCUACACGUCGAAAGAGCUGCUUUACAUUGUAUCCAGCUUUUGCCCUAGUUUCAAUAAACGUAACAUUCAGCCCUUUGGCUUUCCUCUCUCCCUCCUCAAUUGACACUUGCCUCUUGUCAGCAAGAUCUGUUUUAUUUCCUACUAGCGUGAUGAUAACAUCACUUCCUCCUUCUGUUCUGACAUCAUCAAUCCACUUUGUAGUUUGCUGGAAUGAGUUAACAUUUGUGAUAUCGUAAACUACUACAGCUGCAGCAGAAUCACGGAUGUACCUGGGAAUGAGGCUACGGAGACGUUCCUGACCCGCCGUAUCCCACAGCCGAAGCCCGAUUGUUCCAUCCUCCAAGAACACCAGCUUGAAUUUCCUCAGCGGAUUCCCGAAGUCUCCGCCCGCGGACAUGGUGGAACUAGAGGAGCUGUCGCCGCCUCAGCCCAGAGACCUCCCGG
RNAcentral lists this long non-coding RNA (677 nucleotides) under Homo sapiens (human). Its description in RNAcentral is "long non-coding RNA NONHSAT074441.2". Lineage: Eukaryota; Metazoa; Chordata; Mammalia; Primates; Hominidae. The record is from RNAcentral.